AGGUAGAUAUCUCCACGAAAAAUAAGGGGGAGGUUGAGAAAAAGAAUGAUCUUGAUGGUAUUAAUGAACUAAAAGCUUCUGCAGAACCUAUGGAAGUGGAAGGUGAACUGGAGAAGCUGAAUCGUGAUGUAAGUCAAAGCAAUCUCAAUCUUCAUGGGGAAGAUGGUAAAGGGAAUCUAAAAGUGUGCGAAGAAGAUGUAGAAAAUGAAAAUGCGGGGAUUUUAAUUAAGAAAGAUGAUAAGAAGAAGAAGAAGGGUAAGAAAGAUGAGGCGAGGGAGAAGAAAAUUGAUGAUGAAGGGACCAUGAGGAAUCUGCGAGAGAAAAAAGAAGAGAUAGAUAUUUCUGUGAAGAAAAAUAUUGAUCUUGAUGGUAUUAAUGACCUAAAAGAUUCUUCGGAACCUAUGGAAGUGGAAAGUGAACUGGAGAAGCUGAAUCGUGAUGUAAGUCAAACCAUCUAUUUCUUCAUACAAUUAUUUCUGGUAUGCCUAAGUUUCUGUUUUUGCAUUUGAUGAAUAAAAAAUUUGAGC
This 527-nucleotide long non-coding RNA is filed under the name Aquilegia coerulea. RNAcentral's name for it is "long non-coding RNA (ACOE_LNC002003)". The record is from RNAcentral. Lineage: Eukaryota; Viridiplantae; Streptophyta; Magnoliopsida; Ranunculales; Ranunculaceae.